Ictalurus punctatus (channel catfish) is the source of this 772-nucleotide long non-coding RNA. The record is from Ensembl. Lineage: Eukaryota; Metazoa; Chordata; Actinopteri; Siluriformes; Ictaluridae.
GUUCGAUCACAGUUUCUCUGGACUGUCUAGAGUCUAGAGACCUGAAACACUGCUGUAGUAGAGAUACAGUGUUUUUAUUAUUAUUAUUAUUAUUAUUAUUAUUAUUAUUAUUCAACUUCAUUUCAUUUGUUUAGUGCUUUUAACAGUUAACAUUGUCACAAAGAAGCUUUACAGAGCUUCCAAACGAACUCUAGCACAGCGAGCAAGCGAUUCGACUCUGAAUCGACUCAUCUACAGGAAGUGAAUCAAACAUGCCGUGUGUUCUGGGUUGCAGCGUUUUUUUAUUUCAUUUCAUAAUUUCUUAUUUGUUUUUCGCUGUGAAAUCUCCUAAGAGUCAGCAUUACAGGUCUACCCACUUUCACAGGAUCAAGUCCAACCACAGCAAACAUAAACCGCCGCACGGAAUUGCGUGUACACAGAACCUUCAAGAUUCAGAAGCUUGUGGCUAGAAAAGAGAACAAACGAAUUAUUCAGUGGCGUCGGUUUACCUGCUUCCACGUCAUCCAGCCGGCCUUCUUAAAAUCCGUUACCAAUUAAUCGUAUCGAAAGGUCAGUGAUUCCACAUUAAUGAAUGAUUUAUGACGUCUGUAAAAUUUCUAACCUUUGGGUUAGUUGAUUAAAAGUACGCUAAUUGACUUUAUUCGAUCGGUUAUUUAGCGGUUUAUUUUCCUCCCAAAUAGACCGGGCAACGAUUGAUGGCGAAGACGGAGACGACCGUAAUGAGGAGGGAAAGAAUGAAAUCCUUUUAGAGGGAAUUAUUACAGAUCGGUUG